Molecule: ribosomal RNA, 481 nt
Filed under: uncultured bacterium
Lineage: Bacteria
Description: bacterial SSU rRNA
Rfam family: Bacterial small subunit ribosomal RNA
Source: RNAcentral
AGGACGAACGCUGGCGGCGUGCCUAACACAUGCAAGUCGAGCGAUGAAGUCCUUCGGGGUGGAUUAGCGGCGGACGGGUGAGUAACACGUGGGUAACCUGCCUUAUAGAGGGGGAUAAGCCUUCCGAAAGGAAGAUUAAUACCGCAUGAAAUGUUUUUAUCGCAUGGUAGAAACAUCAAAAGGAGUAAGUCCGCGUAUAAGAUGGACCCCGCGGCGCAUUAGCUAGUUUGGUGAGGUAAACGGCCCACCAAGGCGACGAUGCGUAGCCGACCUGAGAGGGUGAUCGGCCACAUUGGAACUGAGACACGGUCCAGACUCCUACGGGAGGCAGCAGUGGGGAAUAUUGCGCAAUGGGGGAAACCCUGACGCCAGCAACGCCGCGUGAAUGAAGAAGGCCUUAGGGUUGUAAAGUUCUGUUUUCUGGGACGAUAAUGACGGUACCAGAGGAGGAAGCCACGGCUAACUACGUGCCAGCAGCAGC